Molecule: long non-coding RNA, 1844 nt
Organism: Bos taurus (domestic cattle)
Lineage: Eukaryota; Metazoa; Chordata; Mammalia; Artiodactyla; Bovidae
Source: Ensembl
CCAGGGAAGCCCAAGAAAAGUACAGUGGGUAACCUAUCCCUUCUCCAGUGGAUCUUCCCGACCCAGGAAUCAAACCAGGGUCUCCUGCACUGCAUGUGGAUUCUUUAGCAACUGAGCUAUCAGGGAAGCCCUAUAUUAAAAGUAAUGUCAUUAAAAAAAAUAAGUAAAAAUCAGUAGCCAAAAGUUAUAAACGGAGAUAAAACUAAUCUUUGGCAAAAGUUGUUCAAUCUACUGAAUAGAUAACCAUUAUGCAGGCUUCCUUAGCCAGCUGCUUUUCCUUUAGGACCAUUCCUGAAUAAUAACAUGGUAAAUGGUUAAAAGCUAACACACAGCCUCCCAUGGUGAAGAUGCAGCUGGAGAUGCCUGCAUGAGUGCUCAGUCUUGUCUGACUCUGCGAUCCCAUGGACUGCAGCCCACCAGGCUCCUCUGAAUUUUCCAGGCAAGAAUACUGGAGUGGAUUGCCAUUUCCUUCUCCAGAAGAUCUACCCGAUCCAGGAUCUCCUGCAUUAGCCAGUGGAUUCUUUACCAUGUGCCACCUGGGAAGCUCACAGCUAGAGAAAAUGACACAGAAUACUUUGGUUUACUUAACUUCUGCAGACUCUUCCCUCUCUCCAUUCAUUGAACUUUGCCUUAGGCAGUGAUUUUAAUGAUGAGACAGAAGGCACAUUUAUCCUAUUUUUUGGAUAAUGUGAAGCAGGACAUAUAGAAAAUGCGCUGAAUGGCGGAAUUGGAGAUCAGAAAGAUUUCAACAGGCCAGAAAGAUAGACUAAAUGAAACAAGAACAUUUAAAAAACUGUGUCAAAGUGUCUGCAAUAUGGGUCAUCAAACACUAUGACUGGCCCAGUAUAACGAGACCACACGGCUCCCAAUGAAAAAGCCUCGGGUCUUUUAACCAAGAGCAUGUCCCGCAAGCCUCCAGGGUACAAAGUGGCUGACAGAAAGGGCUCCUUUGAUCUUAGGCUGCAGUAACAAAAGUAUAGUGAGCUGGGAGACACAGGCUCUAAAAGAAGCUGAAUGCCUGAAUCAGUCAAAAUGAGAUAAACAGCAGCAGCACCAACCUAGGUGAGGAACAGGUGCGCAGGGAUGGAGUGAAGCAGGUGGAGCCAAAAGAAGAGUGGUGGGUAAGUGGAGGUUCCCUAAGGAACUCCAUCAGAACUUAUCAGCAUUGGAGUAGUACCUGCCUGGUGAAUUCAGCAGUUUCCCUAAGGAAGAUUGUGAGCAUGUGCUACUCAGAUCUCAGAGGCUGAGCUGUGAAGCAGAGAUGUGCUGGGAGAUGGGUUUGUUUGUUUUUUUUUUUUCAUAUAACACAGAAGGGUUUUAAAAAGUCAUUUGGUUCUUGUAACCAACCACACAUAAGUAUGCUACGCAGUGUGUAGUGUGGAGCAGUUUUUCUUUGCUCUGAAACCACCUAACCUACGAGGGGAUGAAGAAGUCCUGACUGAGCCUUUGUGACUAGAAGCUGAUCGGCUCCACACUUGGUCCACUGAAGGAGGACAAGGCCCUGGGUCCCCUCCUGCCUCUCACAUGAUGCUCCCAUAUCAUUGUUCGGUCUUGAAUAUUAAAGCUGUUGGUUUUACCAACAGUCUGCCUCUGAAUAGGAAUCCUCAAGAGAAUGUUUGUAGCUGAUAACAAGAGAGAGUGUCUGGUUUUGCAGGAGAUGAAAUGUUCUUUUGUAUCUGAGCAGGAAGCAAGCAGAUAGUGUAUUUCAAUAGCUUUUUAUACCCACCAGGCACAUUGAAAUUGAUCUUUUCCAUCACUAUUAUCUAUAAAACCCCUUUCCUUCGUGAUUUAGUUGGAAGAGCGCUGCAGCCUAUUCUCAUCCAAAAGUAUUAUCUGUUUUCAGU